Molecule: long non-coding RNA, 438 nt
Filed under: Mus musculus (house mouse)
Lineage: Eukaryota; Metazoa; Chordata; Mammalia; Rodentia; Muridae
Description: long non-coding RNA chrX:96194050-96194488
Source: RNAcentral
GGGUGGUGGCCAGAAGCCGGCAGGACUGGAAGGGACACCGCAUCUCAGAAGACUCUUCAAGAAAUCACAAUGUCAAACAACACAGACCUUUCUCUCUCUUCAUACGAUGAAGGUCAGGGGUCUAAGUUUAUUCAGAAAGCUAAGGAGACACUGUUCCCCCCCCCCAUUGGAAUGGCAGGCUUUGCAGCAAUUUUUGUGUAUGGGUUACACACGCUGAAGAGUAGGGGAAAUAUGAAGAUGUCCAUUCACUUGAUCCACAUGCGUGUAGCAGCCCAGGGCUUUGUUGUGGGGGCCAUGACUCUUGGUAUGGGCUACUCCAUGUACCAGGAAUUCUGGACCAAGCCUAAGCCUUGGAAGAGCUGCUGUGCUUGCUUUAGUUAGAUGUCUCAUAUUGAGGUUACUUGCUUGUGUUUAUAAUAAAUAACAUGUGGGUUUAGA